GUCAUUACCAUGGGCUAUGAAGGCCUGGGCUCUCCCCAGCUCUGCCAUUUAUUGGCUGGUCAACAUUGAAAAAGAAACAUCUGUGCUUCCAUCUCACCAUCUGCGAAAUGGGGUAAUAACCCCCACCCCUACCACACCAGGUGGGGAGAACCGGAUGAGGCGGUGACAGGUGGGGAGAAUUGGAUGAGGCAGUGACAGGAAAUUCUCAUUCCAGUCAAUAUCUCCCCUUCUCCGCCUGUGACAACCACUGAUCGCCUUGCUGUCACAGUCAAUCCGUGAAAGGACCUGCUCCUGAACAUGCAAUCGAGCCGUGCAGGAGGUCAUCUUCUGUGCCUGGUUUGGAGAUUUCUGCAACAUGGUUGCAUCCCUCCAUGAGGCUUUCUUGCUGCUGAGUGGGAUUCCAAUGUCCCAGUGUCCACAUAGACUCCAGCUGGUUGACCCAUUCACUACGAUGGACACUGGGUUAUUUCCAUGGUGGGGUAACUAUUGAUAAAGCCACUGCAGAUGUGUUUACACAA
This 518-nucleotide long non-coding RNA is filed under the name Homo sapiens (human). RNAcentral describes it as "HSALNT0387537". The record is from RNAcentral. Lineage: Eukaryota; Metazoa; Chordata; Mammalia; Primates; Hominidae.